This 253-nucleotide ribosomal RNA is filed under the name uncultured bacterium. RNAcentral's name for it is "partial 16S ribosomal RNA". It matches the Rfam family "Bacterial small subunit ribosomal RNA", at positions 524 to 776 of the family's 1533-position model. The record is from RNAcentral.
UACGGAGGGUGCGAGCGUUAAUCGGAAUCACUGGGCGUAAAGCGCGCGUAGGCGGCGGAGUAAGUCGGGUGUGAAAGCCCUGGGCUUAACCCAGGAAUUGCAUUCGAUACUGCUUAGCUAGAGUAUGGUAGAGGGAAGCGGAAUUCCGGGUGUAGCGGUGAAAUGCGUAGAGAUCCGGAGGAACACCAGUGGCGAAGGCGGCUUCCUGGACCAAUACUGACGCUGAGGUGCGAAAGCGUGGGGAGCAAACAGG